Molecule: transfer RNA, 66 nt
Filed under: Thalamita sima
Lineage: Eukaryota; Metazoa; Arthropoda; Malacostraca; Decapoda; Portunidae
Description: tRNA-Ser
Source: RNAcentral
ACUGUUUAGUUUAUUUAAAAUAGAUAUUUUGAAAGUAUCAGAAAAGAAAAAAAUUCUUAAUAGUCU